CCUACGGGUGGCAGCAGUGGGGAAUCUUCCGCAAUGGGCGAAAGCCUGACGGAGCAAUGCCGCGUGAGUGAAGAAGGCCUUCGGGUUGUAAAACUCUGUCCUUAUCGAAGAGAGGUAGGUAUGUGAAUAAUGUACCUAUAGGACGGUAGAUAAGGAGGAAGCCCCGGCUAACUACGUGCCAGCAGCCGCGGUAAUACGUAGGGGGCGAGCGUUGUCCGGAAUCACUGGGCGUAAAGGGCGCGUAGGCGGUUUAAUAAGUCAGUGGUGAAAACUGAGGGCUCAACCCUCAGCCUGCCACUGAUACUGUUAGACUUGAGUAUGGAAGAGGAGAAUGGAAUUCCUAGUGUAGCGGUGAAAUGCGUAGAUAUUAGGAGGAACACCAGUGGCGAAGGCGAUUCUCUGGGCCAAGACUGACGCUGAGGCGCGAAAGCGUGGGGAGC
Molecule: ribosomal RNA, 440 nt
Filed under: uncultured bacterium
Lineage: Bacteria
Description: bacterial SSU rRNA
Rfam family: Bacterial small subunit ribosomal RNA
Source: RNAcentral